GCUGGAUGCAGUGGUGCACAUCUGUAAUCCCAGAGACUCAGGAGGCUGAGGCAGGAGGAUCAUGGGUUCAAAGCCAGCCUCGGCAACUCAGCAAAACCCUGACUCUA
Molecule: small RNA, 107 nt
Filed under: Marmota monax (woodchuck)
Lineage: Eukaryota; Metazoa; Chordata; Mammalia; Rodentia; Sciuridae
Source: RNAcentral